Molecule: ribosomal RNA, 443 nt
Filed under: Capnocytophaga granulosa
Lineage: Bacteria; Pseudomonadati; Bacteroidota; Flavobacteriia; Flavobacteriales; Flavobacteriaceae
Description: bacterial SSU rRNA
Rfam family: Bacterial small subunit ribosomal RNA
Source: RNAcentral
GAUGAACGCUAGCGGCAGGCCUAACACAUGCAAGUCGAGGGAGAAGCCCUUCGGGGCAGAAACCGGCGCAUGGGUGCGUAACGCGUAUGCAACCUACCUUUCACAGGGGGAUAGCCCGAAGAAAUUUGGAUUAAUACCCCAUAAUAUUAUUGGAUGGCAUCAUUUGAUAAUUAAAAUUACGAUGGUGAAAGAUGGGCAUGCGUCCUAUUAGCUAGUUGGAGUGGUAACGGCACCCCAAGGCUACGAUAGGUAGGGGUCCUGAGAGGGAGAUCCCCCACACUGGUACUGAGACAGGGACCAGACUCCUACGGGAGGCAGCAGUGAGGAAUAUUGGUCAAUGGUCGGAAGACUGAACCAGCCAUGCCGCGUGCAGGAAGAAUGCCUUAUGGGUUGUAAACUGCUUUUAUAUGGGAAGAAUAAGGAGUACGCGUACUUUGAUGACG